UACAUGGGGCGCAAACGUUGCUCGGAAUUAUUGGGCGUAAAGCGCACGUAGGCGGUUUGUUAAGUCGGAUGUGAAAUCCCUCGGCUCAACUGAGGAAGUGCAUCCGAAACUGGCAGGCUUGAGUACUAAAGAGGGUCGCGGAAUUCCCGGUGUAGAGGUGAAAUUCGUAGAUAUCGGGAGGAACACCGGUGGCGAAGGCGGCGACCUGGGUAGAUACUGACGCUGAGGUGCGAAAGCCAGGGGAGCAAACGGG
Molecule: ribosomal RNA, 253 nt
Filed under: uncultured bacterium
Lineage: Bacteria
Description: partial 16S ribosomal RNA
Rfam family: Bacterial small subunit ribosomal RNA
Source: RNAcentral